GACGAACGCUGGCGGCGUGCUUAACACAUGCAAGUCGAACGGAAAGGCCCUGCUUUUGUGGGGUGCUCGAGUGGCGAACGGGUGAGUAACACGUGAGUAACCUGCCCUUGACUUUGGGAUAACUUCAGGAAACUGGGGCUAAUACCGGAUAGGAGCUCCUGCUGCAUGGUGGGGGUUGGAAAGUUUCGGCGGUUGGGGAUGGACUCGCGGCUUAUCAGCUUGUUGGUGGGGUAGUGGCUUACCAAGGCUUUGACGGGUAGCCGGCCUGAGAGGGUGACCGGGCACAUUGGGACUGAGAUACGGGCCAGACUCCUACGGGGGGGAGCAGUUGGGAAUAUUGCACAAUGGGCGGAAGCCUGAUGCAGCAACGCCGCGUGCGGGAUGACGGCCUUCGGGUUGUAAACCGCUUUCGCCUGUGACGAAGCGUGAGUGACGGUAAUGGGUAAAGAAGCACCGGCUAACUACGUG
RNAcentral lists this ribosomal RNA (468 nucleotides) under uncultured bacterium. RNAcentral's name for it is "partial 16S ribosomal RNA". It matches the Rfam family "Bacterial small subunit ribosomal RNA", at positions 28 to 507 of the family's 1533-position model. The record is from RNAcentral.